GGUGGCGGUUAUGCUGGGGUUGUUCCACCUGUUCCCAUUCCGAACACAGAAGUGAAAUACCUCAAGGCCGAUGAUAGUGAGUUUUCUUGCGAAAGUAGGUAGCCGCCGCCA
This 111-nucleotide ribosomal RNA is filed under the name Candidatus Nealsonbacteria bacterium CG03_land_8_20_14_0_80_36_12. The record is from RNAcentral. Lineage: Bacteria; Candidatus Nealsoniibacteriota.